AUGGGGUGCAGCAGGCGAGAAAACUUUGCAAUGUGCGAAAGCACGACAAGGUUAAUCCGAGUGUUUUCUGCUAAAGAAAUCUUUUGUUAGUUCUAAAACCACUAACGAAUAAGGGGUGGGCAAGUUCUGGUGUCAGCCGCCGCGGUAAAACCAGCACCUCAAGUGGUCAGGAGGAUUAUUGGGCCUAAAGCAUCCGUAGCCGGCUAUGUUAGUUUUCGGUUAAAUCCAUGUGCUCAACACAUGGGCUGCCGGGAAUACUGCACAGCUAGGGAGUGGGAGAGGUAGACGGUACUCCAUAGGAAGGGGUAAAAUCCUUUGAUCUAUGGAAGACCACCUGUGGCGAAGGCGGUCUACCAGAACACGUUCGACGGUGAGGGAUGAAAGCUGGGGGAGCAAACCGGAUUAGAUACCCGGGUAGUCCCAGCUGUAAACUAUGCAAACUCGGUGAUGCAUUGGCUUGUGGCCAGUGCAGUGCCGCAGGGAAGCCGUUAAGUUUGCCGCCUGGGAAGUACGUACGCAAGUAUGAAACUUAAAGGAAUUGGCGGGGGAGCAC
This 553-nucleotide ribosomal RNA is filed under the name uncultured crenarchaeote. RNAcentral's name for it is "bacterial SSU rRNA". It matches the Rfam family "Archaeal small subunit ribosomal RNA", at positions 325 to 879 of the family's 1478-position model. The record is from RNAcentral. Lineage: Archaea; Thermoproteati; Thermoproteota.